CCUACGGGAGGCAGCAGUGAGGAAUAUUGGUCAAUGGACGAGAGUCUGAACCAGCCAAGUAGCGUGAAGGAUGACUGCCCUAUGGGUUGUAAACUUCUUUUAUAUGGGAAUAAAAUGUUCCACGUGUGGGAUUUUGUAUGUACCAUAUGAAUAAGGAUCGGCUAACACCGUGCCAGCAGCCGCGGUAAUACGGAGGAUCCGAGCGUUAUCCGGAUUGAUUGGGUGUAAAGGGGGCGUAGGUGGAUUGUUAAGUCAGUUGUGAAAGUUUGCGGCUCAACCGUAAAAUUGCAGUUGAAACUGGCAGUCUUGAGUACAGUAGAGGUGGGCGGAAUUCGUGGUGUAGCGGUGAAAUGCUUAGAUAUCACGAAGAACUCCGAUUGCGAAGGCAGCUCACUGGACUGCAACUGACACUGAGGCUCGAAAGUGUGGGUAUCAAACAGGAUUAGAUACCCCAGUAGUC
Molecule: ribosomal RNA, 460 nt
Filed under: uncultured bacterium
Lineage: Bacteria
Description: partial 16S ribosomal RNA
Rfam family: Bacterial small subunit ribosomal RNA
Source: RNAcentral